UACGUAGGGUGCGAGCGUUGUCCGGAAUUAUUGGGCGUAAAGGGCUCGUAGGCGGUCUGUCGCGUCGAAAGUGAAAACCCAGGGCUUAACCCUGGGCCUGCUUCCGAUACGGGCAGACUAGAGGUAUGCAGGGGAGAACGGAAUUCCUGGUGUAGCGGUGAAAUGCGCAGAUAUCAGGAGGAACACCGGUGGCGAAGGCGGUUCUCUGGGCAUUACCUGACGCUGAGGCGCGAAAGCGUGGGUAGCAAACAGG
RNAcentral lists this ribosomal RNA (253 nucleotides) under uncultured bacterium. RNAcentral describes it as "partial 16S ribosomal RNA". It matches the Rfam family "Bacterial small subunit ribosomal RNA", at positions 524 to 776 of the family's 1533-position model. The record is from RNAcentral.